This 253-nucleotide ribosomal RNA is filed under the name uncultured bacterium. RNAcentral describes it as "partial 16S ribosomal RNA". It matches the Rfam family "Bacterial small subunit ribosomal RNA", at positions 524 to 776 of the family's 1533-position model. The record is from RNAcentral.
UACGUAGGGGGCAAGCGUUGUCCUGAUUUAUUGGGCGUAAAGAGCGUGUAGGCGGCUUUACAGGUCCGUUGUGAAAACUCGAGGCUCAACCUCGAGACGCCGGUGGAAACCGUAAAGCUAGAGUCCGGAAGAGGAGAGUGGAAUUCCUGGUGUAGCGGUGAAAUGCGCAGAUAUCAGGAGGAACACCGGUGGCGAAGGCGGGUCUCUGGGCCGAUACUGACGCUGAGGAGCGAAAGCGUGGGGAGCGAACAGG